Molecule: long non-coding RNA, 7218 nt
Filed under: Fragaria vesca (wild strawberry)
Lineage: Eukaryota; Viridiplantae; Streptophyta; Magnoliopsida; Rosales; Rosaceae
Description: long non-coding RNA (FVES_LNC000947)
Source: RNAcentral
AAUUAAUUUAGGAAAAUAAUACAAGAAAAUUGAUAUGAAAAUCUAGGGUAUUACAAUCUACCCUCCUUAAAGGAAUUUCGCCCCGAAAUUCAAGUACACUAACCCAAAAACAACUUGGGGUAUUUAGCCCUCAUGUCCGACUCUAACUCCCAAGAUGCAUCUCCCUCAUCAUGGUAACUCCAACACACCUUAACCAAAUCGACUUCCUUCCUUCGAAGCCUCUUGGUUGACCUAUCCAAGAUUUGAACCGGUUCAACAACAAAGGUUGCAUCCGCAUUCACCUUGUUAGUUCCAUAGUCAAUCACAUGUGACGCAUCCAGAAUAUACUUCCUCAACAAGAACACAUGAAACACAUUGUGUACCUCGGACAUGAUAGGAGGUACGGCAAGCCGAUAAGCCAAACCCCUACCUUCUCCAAAAUCUCAAAAGGCCCUACAUACCUUGGAGCAAACUUCCCCUUCUUGCCAAAUCUCACUACCCCUUUUGUAGGUGAGACUUUCAAGAACACAUGAUCUCCAACAUCAAACUCUACUUGCCUCCUCUUCAAGUCGGCAUAGCUCUUUUGCCUGCUUCGCACCGUUCGGAUCCUAUCUUGGAUAAUAGAGACAUCAGUCAUCUCUUGGACAAUAUCAGGACCCAACAACUCGCUAUCACCCACCUCCGCCCAACAAACAAGAGAUCUACACAGCCUACCAUAGAGUGCCUCAUAUGAUGCCAUGCUGAUACUAGAGUGAUAACUAUUGUUGUAGCCAAACUCAAUCAAUUGGAGGUGAUCCUCCCAACUUCCCUUGAAGUCCAUGACACAAGCCCACACCAUAUAUAUCUUCUAACACUUGAUUCACCCGCUCAGUCUACCUAUCAGUUUGAGGGUGGAAUACUGUACUCAUGUCUAAAGUAGUCCUCAUGGCUUUCUGAAAUCCACCCCAAAACUUUGAAGUGAAUCAGGGGUCUCGAUCAGAAACAAUCGAAGUAGGCACUCCAUGAAGUCUCACUAUCUCCUUCACAUACAACUUACACAAGGCAUCUACCGUGUAUGUCAUCGAUACAGGAAGGAAAUGUGCUGACUUCGUCAACCGGUCAACAAUCACCCAUAUAGCAUCAUGUCCAAGCUUGGACUUAGGUAGUCCAGUCACAAAGUCCAUAGAAAUCUACUCCCACUUCCAAGUAGGAAUAGGUAAUGGCUUCAACAUUCUCCAGGUCUCUGAUGCUCCGCCUUCACCUACUGACAAGUGAGACACUUGGACACAUAAUCUGCUACAUCUUUCUUCAUCCCAUUCCACCAAAACUGCCUACGUAAAUCUUUAUACAUCUUGGUGCUCUAUGGGUGCACCGUAUAACCAAAUCGAUGUGCCUCCCAAGGGAUCUUCCCUUUGACAUCAAUAUUCUCUGGAACACACAAUCUCAAUCUAUACCUCAAUCCACCAUCUAAUCCAAUCGACCACUUAGAAGGACAAUCAUCCAUCAAGUCCACCACUAACUCUGCCAACUUUGCACGUGAGAACUCAUCAUGUGUUUGUCCCUGAAUGAUCCUGGAAAUCAAAGUAGGUUGCACAGAGGUGCUUCUAAGGAAGAUCCCCUGCUCCCCGUCUGAUGACAGAAUGUCAAACUAAGAUGUAGUCUCCAACAUGAGCCACUCCUGUACCAUGAUAGAGGCGACUAUACCCCUAGGCUUUCUGCUCAAUGCUCCGUCACUACAUUGGCUUUCCCGGGGUGAUAGUCCAAUGUGAAGUCAUAGUCCUUAAGGAGCUCCAUCCACCUCCUCUGCCUCAUGUUCAAAUCCUUCUGAGAGAAUAGAUACUUCAAACUCUUAUGAUUAGAAAAAAGUUAGAACUUCUCUCCAUACAAGUAAUGCCUCCAAAUCUUCAAAUUAGCAAAUACCACCGCAGCUAGCUCUAGGUCAUGAGUGGGGUAAUUCUUCUCAUGAAUAUUUAACUGCCUAGAGCCAUAUGCCACAACGCUGCCAAGCUGCAUCAACACACAACCCAAACCCUGAUGAGAUGCAUCGCUAUAGACGACAUAGUCAACACCACUAAUGGGAAUGACCAACACUGGGACGGUAGUCAACCUAGUCUUCAACUUCUCAAAUGCCUUCUCACACUCCUCGGUCCACACAAACUUGGCAUUCUUCUUUGUCAACUUGGUCAAGGAAGAAGCAAUACUAGAAAAUCCCUCAAUAAAUCUCCGGUAGUAUCCUGCCAACCCAAGGAAACUACGAAUCUCCGUAGGAGUAAUGGGAUGACUCCAAUUCAACACUGCCUCCACCUUAGAGGGAUCCACCAAAAUCCCCUCCUUUGAUACCACAUGACCAAGGAACUUGACUUCUUCCUUCCAAAACUCACACUUCCCGAACUUAGCAUACAACUUGGCCUCCUUAAGAACCUGUAGUACGAUCCGUAGAUGCCUACCAUGAUCCUCCAAGGUCUUGGAGUAAAUCAAAAUAUCAUCCACAAAUACUACCACAAACACAUCUAGAUAAGGACUGAAGAUGCGGUUCAUCAAAUCCAUAAAAGCAAUAGGCGCAUUGGGUAGACCAAAUGGCAUAACAACAAACUCAUAAUGCCCAUAUCUAGUCCUGAAAGCGGUUUUCUGAAUAUCCUCCUCCUUCACCCUCAACUGGUAAUAACCAGACCUCAGGUCAAUCUUAGAGAACACCGUAGCACCUCUAAGCUGAUCAAACAAAUCAUCAAUCCUAGGCAAAUGAUACCUAUUCUUGAUGGUCACCUUGUUCAACUCCCGAUAGUCCACACACAACCGAAGUGUAUCAUCCUUCUUCCUCACAAACAACACUGGUGCACCCCAAGGCGAGGUGCUAGUUCUAAUGAAUCCCUGCUCGAGAAGACCCUCAAUCUGAACCUUCAUCUCCUGAAGUUCAGUUCUCCCCAUCUAAUAAGGAGUAUUUGAUACAGGUGAAGUACCUGGUACCACAUCUAUAGCAAACUCCACUACCCUCUUAGGAGGUAACCCUAGAAUCUCCUGGAACACAUCACUAAACUCAAAGACUACUGCAAUGUCCACAAUACCCACGGUACCACUUGUAGCCUCGAUUUAGCACUCCUUCCCACAUGGCUGUGUCUGACCAAUGACAACGAUAGCAAAAGCUCGACUGUUUAGGAAUGUGGAAUGACACCACCAUGUAAAAACAAUCAAUCAAAGCAUGGUUUGGCCUUAGCCAAUCCACUCCCAAAAUCACAUCAUAGGAGCGGUCUGGAAUCACAAUUAGAGAUGCAAAGAACUCCUUACCACUAAUCAUUAUAGGACAUGCAUCACACAACAUGCCAAGCUCAAUAGAAACACCGAGAGGCGAAGAAACACAUAAAAAUCUAGUAAGCUGUGGCAAAGUCACACCUAAAGCCCUCACCACCGAGCUAGAUAUGAAGAAAUGGGUUGCCCCCGUAUCAAACAAAACUGUAGCAAGCAGAUUAAAAACAAGAAAUGGUACCUUCCACUCUUGUACCCCGCUGUUCAAUGGCAUACACCCUGGCCUGUGCUGGAGGUAACUAUCUCUGCUGAUUACCUUGUCCUCCAGCCUGAGGUCGUGUGCAAUCCCUGGCAAAGUGACUUGCCUGCCCACAAGUGAAGCAUCCUUGCCUCCUGGGCUUCGUGCAUGCCGAAGAGAAGUGGCUUGACUCACCACAAGUGAAACACCUCAAGGGUGUUGCCUGCCUAAUAGGUGGAGCCCUAAUAGGUGCAGUUGCUGGUCUAGUUGGAGCCAGCUGAUGAGUCAUCUGCCUCUUCCCGUAACCACCUCUAUGGUCUCAUGAACUGCUGCUCCCUACUAGGGCCUUGCCCUUCCCCUGAACAUCUCUCUGCCUCUUGAUGUGCUCGUAUUUUCCUAUAUUUUUACGCCCUUUAACCUUGAUAUUUGUGUAUAGUUCUCCUUGUUUUUAGUCCAUUUACUUGGUUUAGUGUGUUCGUAGGUUUGAAUAGCAAAGAUGAGGAAAAGAAGCAGAAAAUGAGCACAUAAGGAUUGAAGGUCAUUUGCAGUCCUAACAACUGAACCAGUCUUGAUAGAACAUCCAACUUUGAGGAUUUAACUGUACUGAUCCAGGAAGAACCAGAGAGUGAGCCUUAUAUGCACGAAAAACCCUAAAUGUCCACUUUCUACAGAAUUUUACGGUUCGUGAUUUCGAUAUUCCUAGAGGGAGAUAUGGCCGUUUAAGUACAGGCUGUUCGGUACGCGCGAAUCUACAACAUGUUUCCAAGAGCUCGAGUUUUCAAGACCUGAAUGACCUAGCAAAAUUCCGGGAAAAUUAAUAUAGCAUUAUGGGCCUCUUGAGAGUCCAACACAUGUUUUCCUUGGACUUUUUGGGCUAUUUCAUUAAAGAGUUGCCAAAGUCUGAAGCAACAAGGAAAAAGACAUCAUAUAAAAGGAGGUUUAUCAAACACAAAAGGGGGGAUCAAUCCAUAUCAGAAUUUCAUCCAAGAAGCUGCUGCCAUCCACCGUCUUCUACUUCCAUCUACAUUCAAUUAGUUUCUUUAUGUUUUUAAGAGCUCAUAAUAUGUUUGCUUUGAACAUGAGUAGCUAAACUCUUUCUCUAGGGCUAGGAUGAAGCCCUAGCAUGAUUGUCUAUGUCAGGACCCACCCUAAAUUUCACCUUGAAACCUGAAGUAAAUCCUGUUGGGACCACAUUCAAGAAAAAUUUACCAAAAAAUCGGCAUAACCUCGCUUGAAAAUGGACGACCCUUCCUACUAAUACCUGCAUACACUUCAAAGAAUCCAUCUAUAACCCUCUACUCCUGGAGCCUACAUGCUCCCCAAAUCACAAUAUCUCCCAAUUUAUUUACUAACUUUAAUAAGACAAUCUCACAACCAACAAUCACACAGGUUCAGAGCAACUCUAUCAGAGAAGAAAGGAAUUAGAAAUAUAUAGAUGAGCGGAAGCUAAAAUAUUGACUAUGUCUCGUUUGCAUGUACGCUCGACCUCAACUAUAUAAUCCUGCAAACUGGACAUUUUUAAAACGAAGGGCCCAGGGGAAAACAUUCGAAAUUGUUAGAGUGAGUGGACAAAAAUAAAAUGAAUAAGUAAAAAUAAUUAACAAUAUUCAUGCUUUUCCAAUUUAAUUUCCAAAGAAAUCGAAUGCAGCCUCAAGCGAUAAAACUCUUAUCUCUUAAAUAUCAAGUCUCUCAAACUCAAUAAUGUAAAUCAAUAUAUAUGUAUGUAUCUACACACGUCCCAUACUCCUUGUAUGAAUUCUAUUAAGGAAAUAUAAGAAAAAUAGAAAUUCAUACAAGGCUACUACGCUUGCGUCUAACGCUCACGUCACGUUUUAAUGCGAUGCUACACUACACCGUUAAGGUGGACGGAUGGGUGUACUACCCCCUAUAUAAAUUAAACAUUCAUAUGGGGCUACUACGCUCGCGUCUAACGCUUACGUCACACCAUUAUACGGUUAUAUACUACGCUAUUAAGGUAGAUAAACACAUAUGGCUAGCUAGCAUUAUAUACAUACUCUCCUCAUAAAUAUACAUAUAUGUUCACUGAAAAAUCCCAUUUUUGGUAAUUCUCCAAAAGAAAUAAAAUCAUCAAAUUAAAAUGACGUCAAAUACUCCAAUAAAAGAAAUUGUUCAACAAUAAUCCAGUGCAUGCAUAUUAUUUAAAACAAAAGUUCACUCACAGAUUUAAGCUUAAACUUCCCAAUAUAAUGCCCGGAAUACUCCUCGAGCGUUGCCCCAAAAUAAAACCUUAACCUGGAAUCGAAGUCAUAAUCAAUUUCCAUCCCUUUAACACAUCAACCAAUUUACUUCCAAGAUUUACUAAGGGCACCCAAAAGGGUUUCCAUAAAUAGAAAGCUUCCAAAAAGGGAAAAUUUCUUAAAAUAGAAACUUUCCUAACUUAACAAGUUUUCCAAUAAUAAUAACCCGAACUUUCCUUUUUAGGCACUACGACUCAAAAUAGAAAGGUUGCUCAAAAACUACUUUCUCGACGCUCUGUCGGAUCUACUGCUUCGCCGGAACCCUCGCCGGAUCCCGAUGACUUGUUGGAAAACUUCACCGGAUCCGGCGACUUGCCGGAAAACUUUACCGGAUUCCAGCCACUUCCCGGAAAAUUGGCCAUAGUCUCCCUGCAUCUUCCAAUCUCCAAGUUAUCGACAAUCAUGUAGAAAAUAAACGAUUCAAACACCAACCAACCGAAACCACACAACAACAACAACAACAACAACACCGAAGUUCAAGACUUAACACUGACCUUGCUAUAAUCCUCGUCGAAACCAUGUUCACUGACAACCCAAAACCACAGUCAUGAUCGGAGGACAAUCAACCAAACACCCAAAACCACUGCCUCCUUCCGAAACAGUAACAACUUCCUCCAAACUUCUUCCAAAGCGCGUUGGGGCUCCCACCAACCACAGCUAGGCUCGCCUGAGCUCGACGGACACACUGAAACUCAAGAACAAAAGCCCUUGUCGGAGACCGAACCUCAAACCCAGAAAACAGAGAAAGCGGGAAAUCUGAUUAGGGCUCUAUAUUUGGAAAUCGAAGCUCAAGGAAGACCGAAAAACUAGAGGGAAGUGAUGAGUAUACCUUCACGAAGCACAAGCUCAUCGGAAAAGAAAUGAUUCGGCCGGAAUUUGGGUUUUGGGGAUUUAGGGUUCUUGUUUCGAUCAGACGGGAUAGAUGAUGCCUGGCAAGUUGAUGGGUAGCAGUAGAGAGAGGAGAGAGAGACAAGUCGAUUGGGGGUGGUUGCUCAACCAGCGACGGCCGGACGAGUGUAGACGACGGAGAAGAGAGAGAGAGAAGAGAGAAUAGGGUUUGGGCUUUUUCCCAAACCGGUUUCCCCGACCCCAACCAUUUAAAACCCAACUUCAAAUAAAAUACACCCCAAAAAAAUAACCCAAAAAUAUACCCUACUAAAAAUUACCUUUUUACUAAAAUUUACCCUUUUUACCGUCUUUAAUUAUUUCUCCUACGAAAUACUCGUCCCUCCAAAACACCUCUAGGGACCUUUGAAACUAUAUACUCAUUAACGAAGACGGUAAAACUCUUAUUAACACCUAGCAAGUGAUUAGGGUAAAAAUUAAGAGUCGGGGAUGUGACAAUUCUCCCCCUCUUAUUAAAAUUUCGUCCUCGAGUAUACUACAUCCACCCUGUAUACUUGCAGGAAUCCAUUCACUAUACUACAUCCACCCUGUAUACUUGCAGGAAUCCAUCAAGUUUUUGGCGCCGUUACCGGGGAUUACCCUGUCCUCCAGCCUGAGGUCGUGUGCAAUCCCUGGCAA